UACUUGAGAGACUGUACAAUGAUACAUAUAUAUAUUUAUGUUUCUUUCUUUCUUUCUUUCUCUGAGGAUGAACUUUGUUCUCCCAUGUGCUUGAUGUGCACAUCCUUUUAAAAGUUGGAGCAUAACACAUGGCUAAUGGCUGGCAAUUUUGAAAAAAAGUAGAAACCAUUGAAUAAGAUGAUCAAUUUCCAGCUUUUGCUGGAUGUUCAGUGGAAUCAAAGGCCCUUCUUGCACAUAAAGUAAUCUUAGCCCUUGGUGAAAAAAGUUGCAUCAACAUGUAUUUCGGAAUUUGUUUACCUUCCAGGAGUUUGUGGAGGUGGUGAUGAAGUUAGAAUCUGUCUAAAAGGAGUGAAAGGAAAUUGCAGAUGCUCAAUAUAUUACAUCUAAGGAAUUGAUAUCUUGGGGCCCAAGAAUAGUAUGAACACAGUAUUCUUUUUUUCUUGAGGUUUAUUGGAAAACAGUCGGAGCAACCAAAGCGCAUCCAGCUUUAAAUCUUCAAUAGCCUCCAUAUGUUCAUUCCACUUUCAGCAGCUGAACUUUGGUUUCACAUAUACUUGCGCAUAUAAAGUGUUCCAAUAUUAAUGGAAAAUCCUUCCAUCGAAAACCAAAUGUUCAUAAGUGUAGAAAAUUUAUAAUUUUGAGACUACUGAGGUAGGUUGAUGGAAACAAAGUCUUGUCCAUAUUGAUGAGGAGCAGCACUUACUGAUGAAAUAUGAGCUUUGCUUUCUCAGACAAAGUAAGCAUUUUAACUUGUAGAUGGCACAGUUACUAUUCCACUAGCAAAGAAAGCAGACUGGAUCUCCAUCAUAUUCCCAAUAAGGAACAUACCUGGAUUAUGCUAGCGAUGGAAUAACAACUUAAUUCGUAAAAAUGGCUAGUUCAUUCUGCCACUAGAAUGUCCUAUGUUUUUGCAGAGGAAUGUCAUUUUGUGGAUUUUAAAAUGGAAUUCACUCCCUCUAUCUGUACCUCAUUUAUAUCUGCUUCCGAAUUUCGUAUGGAUGGAAAAUAUAUGUGCUUCUUGGAUACCA
Long non-coding RNA from Prunus dulcis (almond), 1028 nucleotides. RefSeq lists it as uncharacterized. The transcript is spliced from 3 exons. The record is from RefSeq and is a predicted model, not a curated record. NCBI's taxonomy places the organism in Eukaryota, Viridiplantae, Streptophyta, Magnoliopsida, Rosales, Rosaceae.